GUUUAUUCUUCUUGAAUUACUCGGGCUGGGAAAGAAUUGUUUGGGCAAUGUUCUUCUUCAUUGAAGUCAAGCCCUACUUUGUCUGGAUAUGCAAUUUUUGCAUAUCUAGCACUGUAGAAACUGGUGGAUUCGAUUGCCGAUGGCUAGACCUAAGCAGCAAAAACCCACUAGAAGAUCCGCAGCGAUCAGGUUCCUCAUUUGAACUUUUUCAUAUUGAGAGACCGGUUGUCUGUAGUCUUCAUCUAGGAUGUUGACUUCUGUCACUUUUCUGAACGCUCUGCGAAGAGAAGCUGACAGCGAGGAAUGCAUCCAGAGCAACUAAGACCAGCGCACAAGGAAGUGAGAGCUGCGUCAGAGAUAAGGUGUCUGAGACUUUCAGUCUUGACAUGGUCUUUGACGUGGCUUCUCGCAUUUUAUUUCGCAAUCUUGCGUAACAUACACAAACACGAGUUCUUCGCCUGCCAUCUUUUUGGCUGUGCGGACGUUCUUUGGUAUCUGAUGAGAAGAGUUUCUUGAUUGAGAUUCUUCUCUUCAGAUGCCUGUAGUGAUAGUUACCUGGUUGAUUCUGCCAGU
This 573-nucleotide unclassified non-coding RNA is filed under the name Golubevia pallescens. The record is from RNAcentral. Lineage: Eukaryota; Fungi; Basidiomycota; Exobasidiomycetes; Golubeviales; Golubeviaceae.